RNAcentral lists this ribosomal RNA (468 nucleotides) under uncultured bacterium. Its description in RNAcentral is "partial 16S ribosomal RNA". It matches the Rfam family "Bacterial small subunit ribosomal RNA", at positions 28 to 507 of the family's 1533-position model. The record is from RNAcentral.
GACGAACGCUGGCGGCGUGCUUAACACAUGCAAGUCGAACGGAAAGGCCCUGCUUUUGUGGGGUGCUCGAGUGGCGAACGGGUGAGUAACACGUGAGUAACCUGCCCUUGACUUUGGGAUAACUUCAGGAAACUGGGGCUAAUACCGGAUAGGAGCUCCUGCUGCAUGGUGGGGGUUGGAAAGUUUCGGCGGUUGGGGAUGGACUCGCGGCUUAUCAGCUUGUUGGUGGGGUAGUGGCUUACCAAGGCUUUGACGGGUAGCCGGCCUGAGAGGGUGACCGGCCACAUGGGGACUGAGAUACGGCGCAGACUCCUACGGGAGGCAGCAGUGGGGAAUAUUGCACAAUGGGAGGAAGCCUGAUGCAGCAACGCCGCGUGCGGGAUGACGGCUUUCGGGUUGUAAACCGCUUUCGCCUGUGACGAAGCGUGAGUGACGGUAAUGGGUAAAGAAGCACCGGCUAACUACGUG